This 333-nucleotide ribosomal RNA is filed under the name uncultured microorganism. RNAcentral's name for it is "bacterial SSU rRNA". It matches the Rfam family "Bacterial small subunit ribosomal RNA", at positions 9 to 342 of the family's 1533-position model. The record is from RNAcentral.
GAGUUUGAUCCUGGCUCAGAUUGAACGCUGGCGGCAGGCCUAACACAUGCAAGUCGAGCGGAUGAAGGGAGCUUUGCUCCUGGAUUCAGCGGCGGACGGGUGAGUAAUGCCUAGGAAUCUGCCUGGUAGUGGGGGAGUAACGUCCGGAAACGGGCGCUAAUACCGCAUACGUCCUGAGGGAGAAAGUGGGGGAUCUUCGGACCUCACGCUAUCAGAUGAGCCUAGGUCGGAUUAGCUAGUUGGUGGGGUAAAGCCUACCAAGGCGACGAUCCGUAACUGGUCUGAGAGGAUGAUCAGUCACACUGGAACUGAGACACGGGUCCAGACUCCUAC